GAUGAACGCUGGCGGCGUGCCUAAUACAUGCCAGUCGAGCGAACGGACGAGAAGCUUGCUUCUCUGAUGUUAGCGGCGGACGGGUGAGUAACACGUGGAUAACCUACCUAUAAGACUGGGAUAACUUCGGGAAACCGGAGCUAAUACCGGAUAAUAUUUUGAACCGCAUGGUUCAAAAGUGAAAGACGGUCUUGCUGUCACUUAUAGAUGGAUCCGCGCUGCAUUAGCUAGUUGGUAAGGUAACGGCUUACCAAGGCAACGAUGCAUAGCCGACCUGAGAGGGUGAUCGGCCACACUGGAACUGAGACACGGUCCAGACUCCUACGGGAGGCAGCAGGAGGGAAUCUUCCGCAAUGGGCGAAAGCCUGACGGAGCAACGCCGCGUGAGUGAUGAAGGUCUUCGGAUCGUAAAACUCUGUUAUUAGGGAAGAACAUAUGUGUAAGUAACUGUGCACAUCUGGACGGUACCUAAUCAGAAAGCCACGGCUAACUAAGU
This 496-nucleotide ribosomal RNA is filed under the name uncultured bacterium. RNAcentral's name for it is "partial 16S ribosomal RNA". It matches the Rfam family "Bacterial small subunit ribosomal RNA", at positions 28 to 506 of the family's 1533-position model. The record is from RNAcentral.